UAUAUAAUAAUUCAACAAGUAACUGGAGAGACACGAAAUACACUUCGUUUUGACGUUCUAACAAUGUCUCGGGCAACACUUCACACUGAUAGUUUGGUAAUUAUAGAGAACAGGGAUAUUACUAGUCGGGACUGAUCUACUCCGAUGUCGGCAUGCAAAGUUUAUUUACUAACGAUAAAAUAGUAACAAAAAAGGUUUGCUCCACUUUUAAAAUAUAGGGUCAUUAUAUUAAAGUAGUAGCUCAGAAUAUUUGAAUAUGUUCGCCGGACCAUGGCGGGAAACGAGGAGGUCAAACUUUGUCUCAGGCGCCCAUUUUUUUUUUGUUAAAAAUGAUCAAAUUCUGUAGUUUUUGACCUGAAAAGUCCGAAAAUGUUAGUACGAUGCCAUAUUGCCUCUACCCAGUGAUGGACAUUCGUGGGAUUUUUCCUUCGAGGAAUUCCUUUCUGCGCAUGCGUAAGCUGACGUCACAGCUACAUGUCGUCUGCUACCACACAUGUAUUCGAACCGCCAGAGGUGAAUUUAAGGGGCCUGUGCAAUUUUCCCGCGUUUUUAACAGACAAAUUAAGUACAAGAGUGUUAGUGUUGGUGAGUGUAAUAUUAGAGAAAAUUAAAAAAAAAUGAUAAUGAACCGCAGCCGUUCAGGUCAGGAAUCAUCGAGGCAAAGAAGAGGACAUUAUAUUUUGAUCCUUACUGGGAUCCAAUGGUACCCUAAAUUCUAAGUGGACAUUGUGGAAGAAAGAGUCGACUGUGAACUGUUUGCAUUUGUCGCAGUCAACAGGACAACGAAAACGCCCAAAUCCAUGUUCGCCGCCUGUUUGCAGUCGCAUUGGCCUUUGAUAAGCAGGGCAAUUCUUACUCGAUCGUGGAAGACCUUGUUUUCGGGCCCAUGCAACAGCCGAUUCUUUCGAAGUGGGCAAGCUGCAGAAAUCAUAUUAAAGUUAAUUAUUAAAUACCCCUUCAAAUUAAAAAAAAGACCAAAUUAAACUUUAUACCACUCAUUAUGGAUUAUGCACUACACACAGAAUAGAACACACUUAUUUAACAGAACACAGAAACACGAGGCUAUGAAGGUUCCGUUUGAUGAUACAAAUGAAUAACUAAAUAACAAAUCCAAACCUGAAAGAAAUGAAGAUUUGAAUACAGGUGUGAUGGAACAGUCAUCCGUGCAAACCAAUCAGAGGAUGGGUAUCUUUUAAAUUAUUGAAUUCGUAAACUUUUAACUUACAUUUUCGGACUUUUCAGGUCAAAAACUGUAAGAUUUGAUAAGUUUUAACAACAACAACAAUAUCGGUCCCUGAGACAUAGUUCAGCACAUUCAACAAUGCCUCCCUUCUCUAUAUUAAAAUAAUAUUCAUCAUUUAAAACUACUUAUUUGUUACUUCUCAUUUUUUACUUGCAUAGAAAAUACAGAAAAAUCUCUUACAAAUUUGGCAAAUAAAAUUGCGUAUGCUUCAAAGUUCAACAAUUACAAUGUGUCUGUACUAUAUACAUAACAUUAUCUUACUUUCUAAAUCAUAGUUAUAUGUUUAUGUAUUAUUGUUCAGUUAAGUAUAAUUUAUACAUUAUAAUUUCAUGCAAUUAUGUACACAAACGCAGUUAUGCGUAAUGAAUUUUUAGCAUAAUUAGAAAGUAUCAUUUCGAUACUGUUCACUAUUUGUUAAUAAAUUUUGUUAAACCUUACAAUCGAUUCUCUUUUAUGUUUGUCAUAGCAAUCUGAAGUUGAUUCCAGGAAUAUCUGUAAAUAAAAUAAAAUAUGUACAAUAAUUGUAACACCUUCA
Hylaeus anthracinus is the source of this 1778-nucleotide long non-coding RNA. RefSeq lists it as uncharacterized. The transcript has 4 exons. The record is from RefSeq and is a predicted model, not a curated record. NCBI's taxonomy places the organism in Eukaryota, Metazoa, Arthropoda, Insecta, Hymenoptera, Colletidae.